RNAcentral lists this ribosomal RNA (425 nucleotides) under uncultured bacterium. RNAcentral describes it as "partial 16S ribosomal RNA". It matches the Rfam family "Bacterial small subunit ribosomal RNA", at positions 354 to 796 of the family's 1533-position model. The record is from RNAcentral.
GUGGGGAAUCUUGCGCAAUGGGCGAAAGCCUGACGCAGCCAUGCCGCGUGAAUGAUGAAGGUCUUAGGAUUGUAAAAUUCUUUCACCGGGGACGAUAAUGACGGUACCCGGAGAAGAAGCUCCGGCUAACUUCGUGCCAGCAGCCGCGGUAAUACGAAGGGGGCUAGCGUUGCUCGGAAUUACUGGGCGUAAAGGGCGCGUAGGCGGACAGCUUAGUCAGAGGUGAAAGCCCAGGGCUCAACCUUGGAAUUGCCUUUGAUACUGGCUGUGUUGAGUUUGGGAGAGGUGAGUGGAACUCCGAGUGUAGAGGUGAAAUUCGUAGAUAUUCGGAAGAACACCAGUGGCGAAGGCGACUCACUGGCCCAAUACUGACGCUGAGGCGCGAAAGCGUGGGGAGCAAACAGGAUUAGAAACCCCGGUAGUCC